UCAAAAUGCAACGCUGAGGACCUUUAUGUGUUUGUAUGCAUGCGAUUGGCAACAUAACUGGCUUAUUUACAUUAAAUACGCCACAAGGUUACAGUGCAGAUCAACGUCACUUUAUCGCUGAUUACUUCUCUUAAACGCCGGAGCGGUGACUGAUGCUCCGGUCCCCCUGUCCGCCAAGGUUUCCCCGGGAGUUUUUUUUUUUAGGAGAAACAGACUUUGCAUAGUUUCGGGAGCAGGUUUUAUUUUUCCAGUUGUGACCUUCAGUACCUAUCCUGUGUCUUUUAAGAAUUUCCUCAUCCAGGGAACAGAUUCAUUGGCUUAAGAAUAACUGAUCUUGUGAAUUAGUAGAAACUCAAUGAUUCAGAGGAGUUGUGCUGAUUUAUAGCUGAUGUGAGAGGAUAUCCAGGCAUAUUAAAGCUUCAGUACUGCAAAGGCAUAAGCAGGUAUUGAAUUACUGAUGCUAAUGGAAUUACUCACGUGAGUAAAGUUAAGUAGAGACGUAAGUGUUUUCAGGAUUGAUGUCUGUACUUACGAAUUUAUAUCAUUUAAGAGUAUGGCUCACAAUUUUUAAAACUUACUAAUUGAAUGUGAGCUACUGGAUUUUAUUCUAGACAAUUGACUUGAAAAGAAUUACAGGGACUUGAUUCUAGAAUAAUUCCAUCAGCUUCAGAGAAGAGAUGUGCAUUUUUUAAUGCUGUAAAUAAGGAUGUAGUUUGACCAAUUCACUCCACUGAUCCCCACUAAUAUCAGGAAAUACUUGCCAGAGUAAAGGAGGAG
This 777-nucleotide long non-coding RNA is filed under the name Lonchura striata (white-rumped munia). RNAcentral describes it as "domestica (Bengalese finch) lncRNA (ENSLSDG00000017726.1)". Lineage: Eukaryota; Metazoa; Chordata; Aves; Passeriformes; Estrildidae. The record is from RNAcentral.